CCAACAUCUUCACCAUUUAUUUUCUUAUCAUUCUGGUUAUACUGCUGCUGGAGAUGAUCCACAGUGCUAACGGCAUCAUUUUUUGGCCAUCCGGGUCAACCCGAUUGGCCAAGUUAACGGUGAACAACUAACAAGGACUAUGAUAAAAGAUUUAAAACUCCUGCAGUAAACAGAGAAAUUCUUUAUUUUCAAGUAGAGAUUAAAAAAAACAAUUAAUUC
Molecule: long non-coding RNA, 219 nt
Filed under: Olea europaea (common olive)
Lineage: Eukaryota; Viridiplantae; Streptophyta; Magnoliopsida; Lamiales; Oleaceae
Description: long non-coding RNA (OEUR_LNC007506)
Source: RNAcentral